This 232-nucleotide unclassified non-coding RNA is filed under the name Hevea brasiliensis (rubber tree). The record is from RNAcentral. Lineage: Eukaryota; Viridiplantae; Streptophyta; Magnoliopsida; Malpighiales; Euphorbiaceae.
AUACUGAGCCUCAGCUUUUUGUAGUUUCUGAUUCAGCUCUUCUACUUGUUCUUCCAGAAGUUUGGCGCGUUGACGUUCAGUGUCUAAAUCAACAACUGACUUCUCUACAAUGACCUCCCUUUCUGCCUCCUUUCCCAAAACCAAUUCUUUCUGCUCUGCCAAGGUGCUGUGAGCAAGCUUUAGCUCAUUCUGAAGUUCCUUCACCUGUUCAACCAAAACAUCUUUUUCACCG